Molecule: ribosomal RNA, 210 nt
Filed under: uncultured bacterium
Lineage: Bacteria
Description: partial 16S ribosomal RNA
Rfam family: Bacterial small subunit ribosomal RNA
Source: RNAcentral
UCGGAUUGUAGUCUGCAACCCGACUACAUGAAGCUGGAAUCGCUAGUAAUCGCGGAUCAGAAUGCCGCGGUGAAUACGUUCCCGGGUCUUGUACACACCGCCCGUCACACCAUGGGAGUCGGAAAUGCCCGAAGUCUGUGACCCAACCUACGGGGAGGGAGCAGCCGAAGGCAGGGUCGGAUGACUGGGGUGAAGUCGUAACAAGGUAGC